This 29-nucleotide non-coding RNA is filed under the name Mus musculus (house mouse). Lineage: Eukaryota; Metazoa; Chordata; Mammalia; Rodentia; Muridae. The record is from RNAcentral.
UGUGCAGGGAAAGUUCUUCGUGUCAUGUA